UUACGCGGCAAUGCACGACUCUCAGUAUACAUGAAUUUCACGAAACGGCUAUCAGUUUCAAGUAACCUACGACGAAAUAUAUUGCGAUACGUGUAUCGAUCUUUAGAUUUCACGAGAUAGCGUAGUUCGCGUUUUGAUGCGCUAACGUCGGGGCAUAGGAUCUUUGGGGAUAUACGAGAUAUCCUGCAACGUUGGUGUUACGAAUAACAACAGAUAAAGUAAUAAUGAAAAAAGAGUCACGGGACUUUACUUACCGAUUAGGUCUGUAAAAGUGAUUCGUGCGAAAACCUCAACUUCCUCAUCGCCCAAAUCACCUAUUCUGCACGAGAGAUGAUUCGCCAGCAAGGGAUGGAUAUUACGCACAAGGAGAUCAACGAAAACUAAUGAUAAGCGCUAUUGCGUAUUUAUAAUUGAACGAAACAUUCAUCCACGCGUUAGGAAUGAUAUUUCUAUAAUCACAUUCAAUUCUCGUCUUUCCAAGUGCCUAUGUUCGUUUCAAUCAAGUACCAUUGACGCUAGCCGUUUGGACACGAAGAGGACAAUAGCAAGGCCUAAUUUCGCGAACAUGGAAAACGUCGAAGCCGAGGACUUUCAGGCCUCCCACGUAACGAGAUAAAUUGCCCUUGUACCCGUAGCGGACAUAGACGAUAACGCCUUAAAAAGGAACUGCUCCUCAGCCUCGCAAGUUCGCUUGAGGAGCCAAUCAACUACGAACUUCCAAAGCAAACACAUAGUCUGCCGCGAUAGUUCAAUGGAGUCACAUGAAUUACAGAAAUGAAAAGGGAUUCGAUCAAAUUUCUCUAUGAUUGUCUAUUCUCUAUUCGCUCUUCAUCUCAUACAAGUUGUUGAAGACUAACUCGCCGGAUAGUCGGUCGUGCGAAGAUCAGGCGGCCGUGUGACGAACUAUGGAUCCAAAAGAGGAACAAAUCCAUGUGAGUCAACCGCGACACAACAUUUAUCGUAUUUCAAAUGAAUCUCUCCUAUAAUUAAACUGCCAUGUUUACUGGUAGAAUUUCUUUAAAAAUAUUUCAAUAAUCAUUUUAAUACACGCAUAGUCGAGCUUGUUUUGAAAUUAAUCACAAAUUUCGUCACGAAAAGAAAAUUGGUUUCCAUGUAAGAAAUCAAGGACAAUGUAGAAAUGUCAAAAAGUGUGAGUGAUAGAAAAAAGUGUAAUGUGAAGCAGCGAAUAAGAAUAAAAAAUGGAAUUAUUGAAGUGGUUGUAGCCGCUACUUGUCACAGCUUGUAUGUGUACACGUACAUUUCUGUAUAUAUAUAGAUCAAGAAAAGGAAAAUGUCCAAUAAAAAGUUAAAAACCGCUCUUACAAAGCAUUAGGUAAUGUUGUGGGAACAAUAGAAUUUCAAAAGUAUUUGAGAACGAUAUUUACAAACCGCCUAUCUGUUCCUAUACUGUAUCGAACGAAAACUAGUCUAUUAUUAUUUCGUACUGUUGUUGUAAUUUUUCAAUUAAAGAAUUUUUUGGCAUGUUUGUAUGACAUGUACGGACAUGCCACAUGUAUCUCGUCGAGUAAGUAACAAAACUUGCUAGGCCAAAGUACAUUGAAGUACUAAAAGAAAAACAUUCCAGAUGAAGCAUUGCGAUUGAAGUUGAGAUUUUUCAUGCACCAAAGACGUUAAUGCGCCUAUACACCUUUUAAGUGACAAAUAAGUCAUUCUUACAUAAUCUUUGGAGAAAAAGCAAAGAGAUACAGAAGGAAAGCCUCUUUUAUAUUUUCUAAGCAGUGGAGCAUACUAAGUGAUUGAGUAUUCUUUUAAAAGCAGUUCUUCUUAAGUUUUUAUUAACUUUAUAGAGAAGGGAUUUUAACCAAAGUUUGCACGCACUAUGUUUCACUUAGAAAAAAUUCACAAUAGCUUUAUUGUUGUUGGUAGCCUGUGGAUAUUUAUAUUACUGAAAUAUGUAAAAAAAAUAUGUUAAUAUAAUACGUAAGAUAUAUUGGAAAUCAUAUUAUUUGAACAUCAAAGGCCAAUUUACGAGUAGAGAACUAUCGUUUGAUAUUAUAAGAUGUAACAGGCGCAUAUCUUUUACAUCAUUAACGAUUUCAGCUUGUAAGGUGUCAUUAAUUCGUAAUAUAGUUUUGAAACCGAAAUUUUUCUUUAAAAUUGUGUUCCAUUUGGACAUCGUCUUCUUCGAAAAUUUCUGAAAUACAUUCAUGUACAGCCUUUUGUACUCAUUGGCAGGAUUUAAAAAUGGUUCUUGGUAAGUAUACAAUUUUUUUAGUACAUAUUGGAGUAUACGUCUACUAUAUAUAUUGGUCUUUUUCGCAUCUAUAUCAAAAUAUUCAAUUAUGCGAUUCAAAACAAAAUUCAAUUAUUGAAUAUGUCACAAAAUACAAUCUCCUUAAUCAAUUUGGAAUUGAUUAACGGCUUCUUUACAUAUACAGUGUAGUACAAGUAAAAUAAAUGUGGAUAUUUAAUAGACUAUACAAACGGUUUUAAUCAUUUUGAUCGUUGUCUUUAUAAGCUCGAGAGUGUUUUAAAUGUGUGUGCCAGGAUUGACGUCCAUUCGCUAUAGGUGCUGAAAUAGACAUCCAUUAAAAUGUUUCAAAUGGAAAUUCGAGUAAGUAUUAAAUCAAAUAUUUCCUCUAUAAUCUAUAUUAGGAAAUCGUCAGUUGUUGUCAGAGACGCAUCGUUUUUGUUUUUUUUCUUUAUUAGCCAGUAAUACCAGUACGUAUGAAAUGUGUGACUUGUAUUGGUUCGUACCACAGACUCUUAGGAAGAAUGCGCUUUUAUUUGAAAAGAUUGAAAUAUUAAAAUCGUGUAUGAAAAAUAAAAUUCUUAGCUUUAAAUUGUUAUACAACGAUAGGUAUAUGAAGCCAAACACAUUUAUUAAAAAAGAAACAUAAUAAUUAAGAUUUGGAAAAUUGGUGCGAUAAAAUUCGACAUCUCACAACCUAAUGAAUGUUACGAGCGUUUGAAGUUGGUGAUAAGUGAAGUAGUUCUACGCGAAUAAAUGUUAAGCAUCCAUUAAUUAUCCAUUUUUUAAAUAAAUAUCCUUAUUAUUCGUGUAAAGUAUAUAAUUUCGAAUUACGCGUACACUGAGUAUUACACGUUGCUUCCUGUUCGUCGAAAUAAAAAUAUGCAGCAAGCAAACGCUUUGACAGUUGAUCGCGGUCGACCGAUAUCGCGAUAACGUAAUUCACCAACGAAACAGUAAUAAGACUAAAUUACAGUAAUAAGUUAUCUCACUUGUUUUAGCAUUUAGUUCGAAGAAUAAUCGUUUGCUAGUUACCCAAGGAGCAUGAUCAAUCUACGUUGUUAAUAAGAAUUAUAAGGUAAUAAUGUAGUCACUCGUCUAUUCUUUGAAGAAGCUUGAGCACGUAGUUGCCUGUGGCGAUAAAGCGACAGAGUGGUCAGAGUGGUCAAAAUGGAAGAGAGAAGGAAGCUGAACGAACGGUUGCUCGGCACGCGCGCGAUCGAGUUCAUGUGUACGACAGAGAUAGCUAGGACUGAGAGGAAGGUAAGGGAGUAAGGACGAAGUAGAGGGAGAGGAAGACAGAAGGUUUGUUCCGUUGCUGAAGUUAAUGGCACGGGAACAAGUAUAGGAGAGACUAGCUGUGCGUGUGCAAGAGGGUGCUGGGGAUCGGAGAGGGUCAGAGUGGAUCAGGGGCAGAGUGGCGGUAGAGCUGUAUCGAUGUCCGGGCGCGUUCACCACCGUCGGCACACACGCCGUGUCGGUAUCCUGCAAACGACUAGCACACGCCGUCACCUCUCUUCUGCACACGUUCGAGGCCAGUUUCAGCUUUCUCUUUCACUAACAUUAUACCGUCGUUUCCACUACUGCCGAUAACGGCGCCACUAUCGCCAUCGCUGAAACUGCUACCUAUCUUUCUUCCACCUGCAUCUUUUGCUGCUUCUGCUUUUCCUUUUCACUGCUCGCAUGGAAGAACGCUCUACUCGCUAACCUCGAUGUU
Long non-coding RNA from Bombus impatiens (common eastern bumble bee), 3929 nucleotides. RefSeq lists it as uncharacterized. The record is from RefSeq and is a predicted model, not a curated record. The transcript is spliced from 5 exons. Lineage: Eukaryota; Metazoa; Arthropoda; Insecta; Hymenoptera; Apidae.